UACGGGGGGGGGCAAGCGUUGUUCGGAAUUACUGGGCGUAAAGGGCUCGUAGGUGGCCAACUAAGUCAGACGUGAAAUCCCUCGGCUUAACCGGGGAACUGCGUCUGAUACUGGAUGGCUUGAGUUUGGGAGAGGGAUGCGGAAUUCCAGGUGUAGCGGUGAAAUGCGUAGAUAUCUGGAGGAACACCGGUGGCGAAGGCGGCAUCCUGGACCAACACUGACGCUGAGGAGCGAAAGCCAGGGGAGCAAACGGG
This 254-nucleotide ribosomal RNA is filed under the name uncultured bacterium. RNAcentral's name for it is "partial 16S ribosomal RNA". It matches the Rfam family "Bacterial small subunit ribosomal RNA", at positions 524 to 776 of the family's 1533-position model. The record is from RNAcentral.